This 70-nucleotide transfer RNA is filed under the name Dipodomys ordii (Ord's kangaroo rat). It matches the Rfam family "tRNA". From Rfam's summary of the family: Transfer RNA (tRNA) molecules are approximately 80 nucleotides in length. Their secondary structure includes four short double-helical elements and three loops (D, anti-codon, and T loops). Lineage: Eukaryota; Metazoa; Chordata; Mammalia; Rodentia; Heteromyidae. The record is from Rfam by way of RNAcentral.
GGGAAUGUGGCUUAGUGGUAGAGUGCUUGCCUAGCAUGCAUGAAGUCCUGGGUUCAAUUCCUCAGUACCU